Molecule: long non-coding RNA, 299 nt
Filed under: Elaeis guineensis (African oil palm)
Lineage: Eukaryota; Viridiplantae; Streptophyta; Magnoliopsida; Arecales; Arecaceae
Description: long non-coding RNA (EGUI_LNC038651)
Source: RNAcentral
AUGUAGUAGAUAGAUUUUUGCACUUUAUUUUCUUCUUGGAUCAGUAUCAAGCUGAUAGCUUCAGAAGUUGUUGCCAAAUACAUAAAUAAUUUGUCAUUGGUAUUUGAUUUUGUUAGAAGUGGAGGAAAGUUUAAGUACUGCUUUAGAUCGUCGAAAGCUUUCUGACACUCUUCCAUCCAGGUGAAGUUUUUCAUCUGCCAAAGGGCUUUGAAGAAGGGAAGGCACCGCUCUACAGACUUGAAAAUAAAUUGACUUAAGGAUGCAAUGCAUCCUGCUAAUUUUUGAAUAUUUCAUCAAGA